GAUGAACGCUGGCGGCGUGCCUAAUACAUGCAAGUCGAGCGAACAGACGAGGAGCUUGCUCCUCUGACGUUAGCGGCGGACGGGUGAGUAACACGUGGAUAACCUACCUAUAAGACUGGGAUAACUUCGGGAAACCGGAGCUAAUACCUGAUAAUAUUUUGAACCGCAUGGUUCAAUAGUGAAAGACGGUUUUGCUGUCACUUAUAGAUGGAUCCGCGCCGCAUUAGCUAGUUGGUAAGGUAACGGCUUACCAAGGCAACGAUGCGUAGCCGACCUGAGAGGGUGAUCGGCCACACUGGAACUGAGACACGGUCCAGACUCCUACGGGAGGCAGCAGUAGGGAAUCUUCCGCAAUGGGCGAAAGCCUGACGGAGCAACGCUGCGUGAGUGAUGAAGGUCUUCGGAUCGUAAAACUCUGUUAUUAGGGAAGAACAAAUGUGUAAGUAACUAUGCACGUCUUGACGGUACCUAAUCAGAAAGCCACGGCUAACUACGUG
Molecule: ribosomal RNA, 497 nt
Filed under: uncultured bacterium
Lineage: Bacteria
Description: partial 16S ribosomal RNA
Rfam family: Bacterial small subunit ribosomal RNA
Source: RNAcentral